Non-coding RNA from Lophiostoma macrostomum CBS 122681, 84 nucleotides. Lineage: Eukaryota; Fungi; Ascomycota; Dothideomycetes; Pleosporales; Lophiostomataceae. The record is from the annotation of a GenBank genome assembly.
GGGCUGGUAGCUCAGUGGUAGAGCGGCAGGCUGCAGUAUCCAACGGCUUCCUGUAGGUCAUGAGUUCAAUUCUCAUUCAGCCCU